This 463-nucleotide ribosomal RNA is filed under the name uncultured bacterium. RNAcentral describes it as "bacterial SSU rRNA". It matches the Rfam family "Bacterial small subunit ribosomal RNA", at positions 330 to 792 of the family's 1533-position model. The record is from RNAcentral.
UCCAGACUCCUACGGGAGGCAGCAGUGAGGAAUAUUGGUCAAUGGGCGAGAGCCUGAACCAGCCAAGUCGCGUGAGGGAGUACUGCCCUAUGGGUUGUAAACCUCUUUUGUCGGGGAGCAAAAGCCGGACGUGUCCGGCUGUGAGAGUACCCGAAGAAAAAGCAUCGGCUAACUCCGUGCCAGCAGCCGCGGUAAUACGGAGGAUGCGAGCGUUAUCCGGAUUUAUUGGGUUUAAAGGGUGCGCAGGCGGAUUUUUAAGUCAGCGGUCAAAUCGUGGGGCUCAACCCCAUCCAGCCGUUGAAACUGGCUUGCUAGAGUGGGCGAGAAGUAUGCGGAAUGCGUGGUGUAGCGGUGAAAUGCGUAGAUAUCACGCAGAACUCCGAUUGCGAAGGCAGCAUACCGGCGCCCAACUGACGCUCAGGCACGAAAGCGUGGGUAUCGAACAGGAUUAGAUACCCUAGUA